This 1362-nucleotide ribosomal RNA is filed under the name uncultured bacterium. RNAcentral describes it as "bacterial SSU rRNA". It matches the Rfam family "Bacterial small subunit ribosomal RNA", at positions 28 to 1381 of the family's 1533-position model. The record is from RNAcentral.
AUUGAACGCUGGCGGCAGGCCUAACACAUGCAAGUCGAACGGUAACAGGAAACAGCUUGCUGUUUCGCUGACGAGUGGCGGACGGGUGAGUAAUGUCUGGGAAACUGCCUGAUGGAGGGGGAUAACUACUGGAAACGGUAGCUAAUACCGCAUAACGUCGCAAGACCAAAGAGGGGGACCUUCGGGCCUCUUGCCAUCGGAUGUGCCCAGAUGGGAUUAGCUAGUAGGUGGGGUAACGGCUCACCUAGGCGACGAUCCCUAGCUAGUCUGAGAGGAUGACCAGCCACACUGGAACUGAGACACGGUCCAGACUCCUACGGGAGGCAGCAGUGGGGAAUAUUGCACAAUGGGCGCAAGCCUGAUGCAGCCAUGCCGCGUGUAUGAAGAAGGCCUUCGGGUUGUAAAGUACUUUCAGCGGGGAGGAAGGGAGUAAAGUUAAUACCUUUGCUCAUUGACGUUACCCGCAGAAGAAGCACCGGCUAACUCCGUGCCAGCAGCCGCGGUAAUACGGAGGGUGCAAGCGUUAAUCGGAAUUACUGGGCGUAAAGCGCACGCAGGCGGUUUGUUAAGUCAGAUGUGAAAUCCCCGGGCUCAACCUGGGAACUGCAUCUGAUACUGGCAAGCUUGAGUCUCGUAGAGGGGGGUAGAAUUCACGGGGAACGGCUGAAAGGGGAGAGGUCUGGCGGAUUACCAGUGGGCAAGGGGGCCCCCUGAUCGAUGACUACGCUCCCGGUGUGAAAGCGGGGGACGCAAACAGGAUUAGAUUCCCCGGUAGUCCACGCCGUAAACGAUGUCGACUCGGAGGUUGUGCCCUUGGGAAGUGGCUUCCGGAGCUAACGCGUUAAGUCGGCCGCCUGGGGAGUACGGCCGCACGGUUAAAACUCAAAUGAAUUGACGGGGGCCCGCACAAGCGGUGGAGCAUGUGGUUUAAUUCGAUGCAACGCGAAGAACCUUACCUGGUCUUGACAUCCACAGAACUUUCCAGAGAUGGAUUGGUGCCUUCGGGAACUGUGAGACAGGUGCUGCAUGGCUGUCGUCAGCUCGUGUUGUGAAAUGUUGGGUUAAGUCCCGCAACGAGCGCAACUCUUAUCCUUUGUUGCCAGCGGUCCGGCCGGGAACUCAAAGGAGACUGCCAGUGAUAAACUGGAGGAAGGUGGGGAUGACGUCAAGUCAUCAUGGCCCUUACGACCAGGGCUACACACGUGCCACAAUGGCGCAUACAAAGAGAAGCGACCUCGCGAGAGCAAGCGGACCUCAUAAAGUGCGUCGUAGUCCGGAUUGGAGUCUGCAACUCGACUCCAUGAAGUCGGAAUCGCUAGUAAUCGUGGAUCAGAAUGCCACGGUGAAAGGGUUCCCGGGCCU